ACGGGAACGGUGGCUAAUACCGGAAGGUGCCGAAAGGUGAAAGAUUUAUUGCCUGAAGAUGAGCUCGCGUCUGAUUAGCUAGUUGGUGUGGUAAGAGCGCACCAAGGCGACGAUCAGUAGCUGGUCUGAGAGGAUGAUCAGCCACACUGGGACUGAGACACGGCCCAGACUCCUACGGGAGGCAGCAGUGGGGAAUUUUCCGCAAUGGGCGAAAGCCUGACGGAGCAAUACCGCGUGAGGGAGGAAGGCUCUUGGGUUGUAAACCUCUUUUCUCAGGGAAUAAAAAAAUGAAGGUACCUGAGGAAUAAGCAUCGGCUAACUCCGUGCCAGCAGCCGCGGUAAUACGGAGGAUGCAAGCGUUAUCCGGAAUGAUUGGGGCGUAAAAGCGUCCCGCAGGGUGGCACUGUAAGUUCUGCUGUUUAAGAAGCAGGGCUCCACCCUUUGUAAAGGCAGUGGAAAACUACGAACUUAAAGUACUUUCGGGGCAGAA
This 490-nucleotide ribosomal RNA is filed under the name Anabaena sp. LCRNK42. Its description in RNAcentral is "bacterial SSU rRNA". It matches the Rfam family "Bacterial small subunit ribosomal RNA", at positions 150 to 662 of the family's 1533-position model. Lineage: Bacteria; Bacillati; Cyanobacteriota; Cyanophyceae; Nostocales; Nostocaceae. RNAcentral also lists the same sequence under 1 other name. The record is from RNAcentral.